Molecule: long non-coding RNA, 358 nt
Organism: Apis dorsata (giant honeybee)
Lineage: Eukaryota; Metazoa; Arthropoda; Insecta; Hymenoptera; Apidae
Exons: 2
Source: RefSeq, a predicted model, not a curated record
UUUAGUUUUUGUUAAGAAUUUUCUUUUCAAAAUAAUUUUAAAUAUUUUCUACUCUUUGUAGGUUGUUAUUACAGGAUUAUCUACUUACUAACAAGGAUGUUGCGCGUGAGCAACUUUAAGAAGGGCGAUGAAAGGACAUUUGAUUAUUUUGGAAUGUUGUAUCGUGAACAGCUAGGUGAUGAUGAUGAGUUUAAAACCAGUUCUCCUUGGAUGCUUUGAGGGGCCAAGAGUUUCAUGAGAUAUUCAGGAUUACUCGCCCCCGUUUCCGUGAAUCUUUGGAGCGUUAUGAGACAAUUAGACAAUUCCAAAUUAUAGCUUACUUCCGACAACUAUCUCCGUUGUUCAUCUAUGAACUUUC